CUCUAAGACCACUCUGUCUGGGGAAAAUGGCCGCCGGAGCAAAGCUAAGAGAAGGAAGCAGCAGAGAGCAGACUCCCCUGGACCCAGCUGUGUCUAUGGAUAUACCUCCUGAAUUUAAAGAUGGACGGCCCUCCAGAGACGAGAGAAGGAGGCAGGAGAGAGCAGACUCCCCUGGACCCAGCUGUGUCUCCAUGAGGAGUGACUGGUCU
Molecule: long non-coding RNA, 209 nt
Organism: Gadus morhua (Atlantic cod)
Lineage: Eukaryota; Metazoa; Chordata; Actinopteri; Gadiformes; Gadidae
Exons: 3
Source: RefSeq, a predicted model, not a curated record